GCGCACCAGUCGCGAAACCUUCGCAAUGCGGGAAACCGCGACGAGGGGACUCCCAGUGCCUACGCUCAGCGUAGGCUGUUCCCGAGCCUAGAAAGCUCGGGGAGUAAGGGCUGGGUAAGACGGGUGCCAGCCGCCGCGGUAAUACCCGCAGCCCGAGUGGUGGCCACUAUUAUUGGGCCUAAAGCGUCCGUAGCCGGCCCGGUAAAUGCCUGGGUAAAUCGUGAGGCCUAACCUCACGAAUUCCGGGUAGACUGCCGGGCUAGGGACCGGAGGAGGGAGAGGGUACUCCAGGGGUAGGGGUGAAAUCCUGUAAUCCCUGGAGGACCACCGGCGGCGAAGGCGCUCUCCCAGGACGGGUCCGACGGUGAGGGACGAAAGCCAGGGGA
RNAcentral lists this ribosomal RNA (386 nucleotides) under uncultured microorganism. RNAcentral's name for it is "bacterial SSU rRNA". It matches the Rfam family "Archaeal small subunit ribosomal RNA", at positions 330 to 718 of the family's 1478-position model. The record is from RNAcentral.